This 663-nucleotide ribosomal RNA is filed under the name uncultured fungus. Its description in RNAcentral is "eukaryotic LSU rRNA". The stretch from base 216 to 369 matches the Rfam family "5.8S ribosomal RNA". The record is from RNAcentral. Lineage: Eukaryota; Fungi.
AAGUCGUAACAAGGUCUCCGUUGGUGAACCAGCGGAGGGAUCAUUACAGAGUUGCAAAACUCCCUAAACCAUUGUGAACGUUACCUUUACCGUUGCUUCGGCGGGCGGCCCGGGUCCUGCCCGGCGCCCCUCGGCCCCUCGCGGGCGCCCGCCGGAGGUAAACCAAACCAUUGCAUUGUAUGGCCUCUCUGAGUCUUCUGUACUGGAUAAGUCAAAACUUUCAACAACGGAUCUCUUGGUUCUGGCAUCGAUGAAGAACGCAGCGAAAUGCGAUAAGUAAUGUGAAUUGCAGAAUUCAGUGAAUCAUCGGAUCUUUGAACGCAUAUUGCGCUCUUUGGUAUUCCGAAGAGCAUGCUUGUUUGAGUAUCAGUAAACACCUCAAAGCUUUUGGAUUUUUUUUUUUGAAAGUUUUGGACUUGAGCAAUCCCAACACCAAUCUUUUUCAGAUCGGCGGCGGGUUGCUUGAAAUGCAGGUGCAGCUGGACAUUCUCCUGAGCUAAAAGCAUAUUCAUUUAGUCCCGUCAAACGGAUUAUUACUUUUGCUGCAGCUAACAUAAAGGGAGUUUGACCGCAUUGGCUGACUGAUGCAGGAUUUUACAAGGGUCGGCAACGAUUCUUGUUAAACUCGAUCUCAAAUCAAGUAAGACUACCCGCUGAACUUAA